UGUCACCAACCGACGUUCCUGCCGCCGCCGGCCGGGGCGCCGCCGGCCGGCCGUCGGUUUGCGGACGUGACCGGAGUCUCGUCACUGCAACAAACUCGGCGCCGAACCCGGAACCCGGGCAGAACAGCGGCAGCUGCCGGCGAGCGCGGUCCGUCCCCGGGCCCCGAGUCAAGUCGCUGCCGGUUCCAGUGAAGCCCCGAGCGGGGAGGGAGGGGGAUGAAGUUCUUCUCGUUGCUCCGCAAGAGGAAGGAGCUCAUCCCGCUGGUCGCCCUGAUGUCCACGGCCGCCGCCUUCGGCACCGGCACCUGCGUCUACUUCCUCGCCACCAAGAGCGAUGUCAUAAUCAACAAGACGCGCAACCCGACUCCGUGGGAGACGGUGGACCCCAGCCAGCCCCAGAAGCUCAUCACCGUCAAUCAGAAGUGGCAAGCCAGUGGAGGAACU
Molecule: long non-coding RNA, 444 nt
Organism: Pristis pectinata (smalltooth sawfish)
Lineage: Eukaryota; Metazoa; Chordata; Chondrichthyes; Rhinopristiformes; Pristidae
Exons: 5
Source: RefSeq, a predicted model, not a curated record